CAAGUCGAACGAGAAAGUGGAGCAAUCCAUGAGUACAGUGGCGUACGGGUGAGUAACACGUGGGUAAUCUACCUUUUAGUGGGGAAUAACCAGGGGAAACUCUGGCUAAUACCGCAUAAGCCUGAGAAGGGAAAGCAGCAAUGCGCUGAAAGAGGAGCCCGCGGCCGAUUAGCUAGUUGGUGGGGUAAGAGCCCACCAAGGCAGAGAUCGGUAGCCGGCCUGAGAGGGCACACGGCCACACUGGCACUGAAACACGGGCCAGACUCCUACGGGAGGCAGCAGUGGGGAAUCUUGCACAAUGGGGGAAACCCUGAUGCAGCGACGCCGCGUGAGCGAUGAAGCCCUUCGGGGUGUAAAGCUCUUUCGUCAGGGACGAUAAUGACGGUACCUGGAGAAGCAGCUGCGGCUAACUACGUGCCAGCAGCCGCGGUAAUACGUAGGCAGCAAGCGUUGUUCGGAGUUACUGGGCGUAAAGGGUGUGUAGGCGGUUCUUUAAGUUUGGUGUGAAAUCUCCCGGCUCAACUGGGAGGGUGCGCCGAAUACUGAGGGACUAGAGUACGGGAGAGGAAAGUGGAAUUCCUGGUGUAGCGGUGAAAUGCGUAGAUAUCAGGAGGAACACCGGUGGUGUAGACGGCUUUCUGGACCGUAACUGACGCUGAGACACGAAAGCGUGGGUAGCAAACAGGAUUAGAUACCCUGGUAGUCCACGCCCUAAACGAUGCAUAUUUGGUGUGGGCAGUUCAUUCUGUCCGUGCCGGAGCUAACGCGUUAAAUAUGCCGCCUGGGGAGUACAGUCGCAAGGCUGAAACUCAAAGGAAUUGACGGGGGCCCGCACAAGCGGUGGAGCAUGUGGUUCAAUUCGACGCAACGCGAAGAACCUU
RNAcentral lists this ribosomal RNA (881 nucleotides) under uncultured Bacillota bacterium. Its description in RNAcentral is "bacterial SSU rRNA". It matches the Rfam family "Bacterial small subunit ribosomal RNA", at positions 58 to 972 of the family's 1533-position model. The record is from RNAcentral. Lineage: Bacteria; Bacillati; Bacillota.